This 238-nucleotide ribosomal RNA is filed under the name uncultured Diversispora. Its description in RNAcentral is "partial 18S ribosomal RNA". The stretch from base 93 to 238 matches the Rfam family "Eukaryotic small subunit ribosomal RNA", at positions 738 to 884 of the family's 1831-position model. The record is from RNAcentral. Lineage: Eukaryota; Fungi; Glomeromycota; Glomeromycetes; Diversisporales; Diversisporaceae.
GAAUUUGCCCAUUGGUCAGGCAGAACUGUCUGUACUGGUGUGACGAGUUCCUACCUUCUGAGGAAUCUUCAUGCCAUUCAGUUGGUGUGGGGGGAAAUCAGGACUGUUACUUUGAAAAAAUUAGAGUGUUUAAAGCAGACUAUCGUCUGAAUACAUUAGCAUGGAAUAAUGAAAUAGGACGGACUGAUUCUAUUUCGUUGGUUUCUAGGACCGAAGUAAUGAUUAAUAGGGAUAGUUG